Non-coding RNA from Anabaena sp. CRKS33, 366 nucleotides. Lineage: Bacteria; Bacillati; Cyanobacteriota; Cyanophyceae; Nostocales; Nostocaceae. The record is from Rfam.
GAGAGUAGGCGUAGGCAGUUGCAGAUUAGUCAUUCAGACUGGUUUGAGGAAAGUCCGGGCUCUCGAAAGACCAAACUUGCUGGAUAACGUCCAGUGCGAGUGAUCGUGAGGAUAGUGCCACAGAAAGAUACCGCCAGUCAAUUUAUUGGUUGGUAAGGGUGCAAAGGUGCGGUAAGAGCGCACCAGCAGCGUCGAGAGGCGCUGGCUCGGUAAACCCCGGUUGGGAGCAAGGCCGCAAGGAACUACGGUUGGUCUUUUACCGGUUCCGCUGAAAAAGAGCCGCUAGAGGUGCUUGGUAACAAGCAUCCCAGAUAGAUAACUGCCCUCGCAAGAGAACAGAACCCGGCUUACUACCGACUCUCUCUU